GAUGAAGAACGUAGCGAAAUGCGAUACUUGGUGUGAAUUGCAGAAUCCCGUGAACCAUCGAGUCUUUGAACGCAAGUUGCGCCCGAAGCCGUCAGGCCGAGGGCACGCCUGCCUGGGCGUCACACGCCGUUACCCCCCCGCGCCCCGCACCCAACUCUUUGGGAGCGACCGCGGGGCGGGCUGAUGAUGGCCUCCCGUGCGCUCCGCCGCGCGGUUGGCCCAAAUACCGAGUCCCCGGCGACGUGCGCCACGACGAUCGGUGGUUGAGAGACCUCUGUCGCAAGUCGUGCGCGCCCGUCGCGUCACGCGGGCUCGCAUAGCGCCUCGCGCCGCACCCGGUGCGGAGCUUUCAACGCGACCCCAGGUCAGGCGGGGUUACCCGCUGAAUUUAAGCAUAUCAAUAAGCGGAGGA
This 412-nucleotide unclassified non-coding RNA is filed under the name soil metagenome. Its description in RNAcentral is "partial contains 5.8S ribosomal RNA, internal transcribed spacer 2, and large subunit ribosomal RNA". The stretch from base 1 to 122 matches the Rfam family "5.8S ribosomal RNA", at positions 35 to 154 of the family's 154-position model. The record is from RNAcentral.